RNAcentral lists this ribosomal RNA (507 nucleotides) under uncultured bacterium. RNAcentral's name for it is "partial 16S ribosomal RNA". The record is from RNAcentral.
GGAGUUAGCCGGUGCUUCUUCUGUGAGUGAUGUCCUUCCUGCCGGCUAUUAACCCGCAGGCCUUCUUCCUCACUGAAAGUGCUUUACAACCCGAAGGCCUUCUUCACACACGCGGCAUGGCUGGAUCAGGGUUGCCCCCAUUGUCCAAUAUUCCCCACUGCUGCCUCCCGUAGGAGUCUGGGCCGUGUCUCAGUCCCAGUGUGGCUGAUCAUCCUCUCAGACCCAGCUACGGAUCGUCGCCUUGGUCGAGCCGUUUACCUCACCAACCAGCUAAUCCGACAUAGGCUCAUCCGAUAGCGCGAGGCCCGAAGGUCCCCCGCUUUCCCCCGUAGGGCGUAUGCGGUAUUAGCCUGGGUUUCCCCAGGUUAUCCCCCACUACCGGGCAGAUUCCUAUGCAUUACUCACCCGUCCGCCGCUCGCCACCAGGGAGCAAGCUCCCCGUGCUGCCGCUCGACUUGCAUGUGUAGCUCGCCGCCACGCGUCAUCUGAGCAUAAUACAACUACUGA